This 307-nucleotide ribosomal RNA is filed under the name uncultured Desulfobulbaceae bacterium. Its description in RNAcentral is "bacterial SSU rRNA". It matches the Rfam family "Bacterial small subunit ribosomal RNA", at positions 337 to 635 of the family's 1533-position model. Lineage: Bacteria; Pseudomonadati; Thermodesulfobacteriota; Desulfobulbia; Desulfobulbales; Desulfobulbaceae. The record is from RNAcentral.
UCCUACGGGAGGCAGCAGUGAGGAAUAUUGCGCAAUGGGGUGACCCCUGACGCAGCGACGCCGCGUGGAUGAUGAAGGCCUUCGGGUUGUAAAAUCCUGUCAGAUGGGAAGAAGUGGUAAAUGUUUAAUACGCAUUUACUUUGACGGUACCAUCAAAGGAAGCACCGGCUAACUCCGUGCCAGCAGCCGCGGUAAUACGGAGGGUGCAAGCGUUGUUCGGAAUUACUGGGCGUAAAGCGCGCGUAGGCGGCUAUCUAAGUCAGAUGUGAAAGCCCGCGGCUCAACCGUGGAAGUGCAUUUGAAACUG